AAGCCACGGCUAACUACGUGCCAGCAGCCGCGGUAAUACGUAGGUGGCAAGCGUUGUCCGGAAUUACUGGGUGUAAAGGGAGCGUAGGCGGGAUGCCAAGUCAGCUGUGAAAACUAUGGGCUUAACCUGUAGACUGCAGUUGAAACUGGUAUUCUUGAGUGAAGUAGAGGUUGGCGGAAUUCCGAGUGUAGCGGUGAAAUGCGUAGAUAUUAGGAGGAACACCGGUGGCGAAGGCGGCCAACUGGGCUUUAACUGACGCUGAGGCUCGAAAGUGUGGGGAGCAAACAGGAUUAGAUACCCUGGUAGUCCACACUGUAAACGAUGAUUACUAGGUGUGGGGGGUCUGACCCCUUCCGUGCCGCAGCUAACGCAAUAAGUUAUCCACCUGGGGAGUACGACCGCAAGGUUGAAACUCAAAGGAAUUGACGGGGACCCGCACAAGCAGUGGAUUAUGUGGUUUAAUUCGAAGCAACGCGAAGAACCUUACCAGCACUUGACAUCCGACUAACGAAGUAGAGAUACAUUAGGUGCCCUUCGGGGAAAGUCGAGACAGGUGGUGCAUGGUUGUCGUCAGCUCGUGUCGUGAGAUGUUGGGUUAAGUCCCGCAACGAGCGCAACCCCUGCCAUUAGUUGCUACGCAAGAGCACUCUAAUGGGACCGCUACCGACAAGGUGGAGGAAGGUGGGGACGACGUCAAAUCAUCAUGCCCCUUAUGAGCUGGGCUACACACGUAAUACAAUGGCCAUCAACAAAGAGAAGCAAUACCGCGAGGUGGAGCAAAACUUCAAAAAUGGUCUCAGUUCGGACUGCAGGCUGCAACCCGCCUGCACGAAGUUGGAAUUGCUAGUAAUCGUGGAUCAGCAUGCCACGGUGAAUACGUUCCCGGGUCUUGUACACACCGCCCGUCACACCAUGGGAGUUGGUAACACCCGAAGUCAGUAGUCUAACCGCAAGGAGGACGCUGCCGAAGGUGGGAUUGACGACUGGGGUGAAGUCGUAACAAGGUAGCCGUAUCGGAAGGUGCGGCUG
This 1029-nucleotide ribosomal RNA is filed under the name Carnobacterium sp. N15.MGS-251. RNAcentral's name for it is "bacterial SSU rRNA". It matches the Rfam family "Bacterial small subunit ribosomal RNA", at positions 488 to 1520 of the family's 1533-position model. The record is from RNAcentral. Lineage: Bacteria; Bacillati; Bacillota; Bacilli; Lactobacillales; Carnobacteriaceae.